RNAcentral lists this transfer RNA (118 nucleotides) under Candidatus Thorarchaeota archaeon. Its description in RNAcentral is "tRNA-Leu". The record is from RNAcentral. Lineage: Archaea; Promethearchaeati; Candidatus Thorarchaeota.
GCGGAGGUUGCCAAGCCUGGUCAAAGGCGUAGGGUUCAGAUCCCUAUCUUGUAGGAGUUCGCGAGUUCAAGCGAAUCGGGAUUCCCCCGAGUCGGAACACAUCUCGCCCUCCGCACCA